This 363-nucleotide ribosomal RNA is filed under the name uncultured bacterium. RNAcentral describes it as "partial 16S ribosomal RNA". It matches the Rfam family "Bacterial small subunit ribosomal RNA", at positions 338 to 699 of the family's 1533-position model. The record is from RNAcentral.
CCUACGGGUGACUGCAGUGAGGAAUAUUGGUCAAUGGACGGAAGUCUGAACCAGCCAUGCCGCGUGCAGGAAGACGGCUCUAUGAGUUGUACGCUGCUUUUGUACAAGGGUAAACCUGAAUACGUGUAUUCAGCUGAAAGUACUGUACGAAUAAGGAUCGGCAAACUCCGUGUCAGCAGCAGCGGUAAUACGGAGGAUCCAAGCGUUAUUCGGAUUUAUUGGGUUAAAUGGGUGCGUAGGAGGGCUGUUAAGCCAGCGGUCAAAUGUCGGGGCUCAAACCCGGCCUGCCGUGGAAACUGGCGGCCUCGAGUGCACGAGAGGUAUGCGGAAUGCGUGGUGUAGCGGUGAAAUGCAUAGAUAUCA